UCAUCAUCAUCAUCACCACAUCCAUCAUCACAAUCAUCACCAUAAUCACCACCAUAACAUCAAUACAUCAUCACCAUCCACCACCAGCACCACCAGCACCAUCACCACCAUCAUCACCACCAUCACCACCAUCAUCACCACCAUCACCACCAUCACCACCAUCACCACCACCAUCAUCACCACCAUCACCACCAUCAUCACCACCAUCAUCACCACCAUCACCACCACCAUCACCACCAUCAUCACCACCAUCACCAUCAUCAUCACCACCAUCACCAUCAUCAUCAUCAUCAUCACCAC
This is a non-coding RNA of Paramuricea clavata, 300 nucleotides long. NCBI's taxonomy places the organism in Eukaryota, Metazoa, Cnidaria, Anthozoa, Malacalcyonacea, Plexauridae. The record is from the annotation of a GenBank genome assembly.